RNAcentral lists this ribosomal RNA (479 nucleotides) under uncultured bacterium. RNAcentral describes it as "partial 16S ribosomal RNA". It matches the Rfam family "Bacterial small subunit ribosomal RNA", at positions 28 to 507 of the family's 1533-position model. The record is from RNAcentral.
GGCGAACGCUGGCGGCGUGCUUAACACAUGCAAGUCGAACGAAGCUUGAUUACGGAUUCUUCGGAUGAAGUAUGAUAUGACUGAGUGGCGGACGGGUGAGUAACGCGUGAGUAACCUGCCCUUCAGAGGGGGAUAGCGUUUGGAAACGAACGGUAAUACCGCAUAAUGUAUUUUGACCGCAUGAUCGAAAUACCAAAGAUUUAUCGCUGAAGGAUGGACUCGCGUCUGAUUAGGUAGUUGGUGGGGUAACGGCCUACCAAGCCGACGAUCAGUAGCCGGACUGAGAGGUUGAUCGGCCACAUUGGGACUGAGACACGGCCCAGACUCCUACGGGAGGCAGCAGUGGGGAAUAUUGCACAAUGGGCGCAAGCCUGAUGCAGCAACGCCGCGUGAAGGAAGACGGUUUUCGGAUUGUAAACUUCUGUUCUUAGUGAAGAAUAAUGACGGUAGCUAAGGAGCAAGCCACGGCUAACUACGUG